Molecule: ribosomal RNA, 116 nt
Filed under: Pteropus alecto (black flying fox)
Lineage: Eukaryota; Metazoa; Chordata; Mammalia; Chiroptera; Pteropodidae
Also listed under: 1 other name
Source: RNAcentral
GUCUACAGCCAUGCUACCCUGAACAAGCUUCAUGUCUGAUCUCAGAAGCUAAGAAGGGUUGGGCCUGGUUAGUACUUGGAUGGGAGACCACCUAGGAAGACCAAGUGCCAUAGGCA